UACGUAGGGUGCGAGCGUUAAUCGGAAUUACUGGGCGUAAAGUGUGCGCAGGCGGCCGCGCAAGUCGAGUGUGAAAGCCCCGGGCUUAACUUGGGAAUUGCGCUCGAAACUACGUGGCUGGAGUGUGGCAGAGGAAGGUGGAAUUCCACGUGUAGCGGUGAAAUGCGUAGAUAUCAAGAGGAACACCUGCGGCGAAGGCGGGUUGCUGGGCCGACACUGACGCUGAGGCGCGAAAGCCAGGGGAGCGAACGGG
This 253-nucleotide ribosomal RNA is filed under the name uncultured bacterium. Its description in RNAcentral is "partial 16S ribosomal RNA". It matches the Rfam family "Bacterial small subunit ribosomal RNA", at positions 524 to 776 of the family's 1533-position model. The record is from RNAcentral.